CGUAGGUGGCAAGCGUUGUCCGGAUUUAUUGGGUUUAAAGGGUGCGUAGGUGGCCCUGUAAGUUAGUGGUGAAAUAUCUCAGCUUAACUGAGAGGGUGCCAUUGAUACUGCAGGGCUUGAGUACAGAUGAGGUAGGCGGAAUUGACGGUGUAGCGGUGAAAUGCAUAGAUAUCGUCAAGAACACCGAUAGCGAAGGCAGCUUACCAAGCUGUAACUGACACUGAGGCACGAAAGUGUGGGGAUCAAACAGGAUUAGAUACCCUGGUAGUCCACACUGUAAACGUUGAUGACUCGAUGUUGGCGAUACACAGCCAGCGUCCAAGAGCAAUCGUUAAGUCAUCCACCUGGGGAGUACGCCGGCAACGGUG
RNAcentral lists this ribosomal RNA (368 nucleotides) under uncultured organism. RNAcentral describes it as "bacterial SSU rRNA". It matches the Rfam family "Bacterial small subunit ribosomal RNA", at positions 526 to 896 of the family's 1533-position model. The record is from RNAcentral.